UUAUCUUUUCUAAAACUGCGCUUGACGUUUUAGUCUCUGUACGUGGAUGAUGGAACUUCAUUGGAAAACGGGCAGGGAUCUAAAUUUUGUAGUUAAAAGAUUUCAGGCUGUUGCACCUGAAGUGGAAAAUGUUGUGGACAAUGCUUUUUUCGUAGCACAGUUUAGUCUCUCAAGAAGCAUGGCCACCUUCCUCUCACCAUCAAGGGUCUGUCUUCAGUCGUACAAAGGCUAAGGAAAAUCCAUAACCCCUUGUGGUGCAGUGAAUGCACUUGUGUUGGUCAGAGAGAUGCCAGCUGUAUGACGAGUGACCUCAGUUCUGCAUCCUUAGCUGAAGCUAAUAAUAAUGUUAAGGACCUGGAUGCCGUCAGAAAUAGGUAUUCAUUCCAUAUCUGUGGCUGAGAGAAUCACUUCUUUCUUUUGGACCAGCCAUAUUUUUGUACCUGUGUGCAUAUUUUCUUUCCAACCAUUUUCUAACAACCAUCUUUAAAUGGAGUUUACUGUCGUGGCACUUAAACCCUAUAUUUGACUCCUCUCUUUUGCCAUUAAAGUAUAUACACUGAA
Long non-coding RNA from Polypterus senegalus (gray bichir), 561 nucleotides. RefSeq lists it as uncharacterized. The transcript is spliced from 3 exons. Lineage: Eukaryota; Metazoa; Chordata; Cladistia; Polypteriformes; Polypteridae. The record is from RefSeq and is a predicted model, not a curated record.